AUUAUACUCCCUCCAUCCCAAGUUACUUGCCGCAGAAAUGGAUGUAUCUAGAUGUAUUUUUAGUUCUAGAUAUAUCAAUUUCUAUCCAUUUCUGCAAGUAAUUCGGGAAGAAGGGAGCAUCAG
Molecule: non-coding RNA, 123 nt
Organism: Triticum aestivum (bread wheat)
Lineage: Eukaryota; Viridiplantae; Streptophyta; Magnoliopsida; Poales; Poaceae
Source: Rfam